AGUGAACGCUGGCGGUAGGCCUAACACAUGCAAGUCGAACGGCAGCACAGUAAGAGCUUGCUCUUACGGGUGGCGAGUGGCGGACGGGUGAGGAAUACAUCGGAAUCUACUUUUUCGUGGGGGAUAACGUAGGGAAACUUACGCUAAUACCGCAUACGACCUACGGGUGAAAGCAGGGGAUCUUCGGACCUUGCGCGAUUGAAUGAGCCGAUGUCGGAUUAGCUAGUUGGCGGGGUAAAGGCCCACCAAGGCGACGAUCCGUGGCCGGUCUGAGAGGAUGAUCGGCCACACUGGAGCUGAGACACGGUCCAGACGCCUACGGGAGGCAGCAGAGGGGAAUAUUAGACAAUGGGCGCAAGCCUGGUCCAGCCAUACCGCGUGGGUGGAGAAGACCUUCGGGUUGUAAAGCCCUUUUGUUGGGAAAGAAAAGCAGCAGGUUAAUACCCCGCUGUUCUGACGGUAACCAAAGAAUAAGCACCGGCUAACUUCGUG
RNAcentral lists this ribosomal RNA (492 nucleotides) under uncultured bacterium. RNAcentral describes it as "partial 16S ribosomal RNA". It matches the Rfam family "Bacterial small subunit ribosomal RNA", at positions 29 to 507 of the family's 1533-position model. The record is from RNAcentral.